AGAGAGAGAGAGAGAGGAGUCAACAGAAGACAGAGAGAGGAGAGAGAAGGUGGCGAUCGGUGGCGGUGGUGACCGAGAGCGUCCCCGACUUCGUCGAUACAUUUUACAACCUUGUCGCUGACAUCUGUGAGUGGGGCUAGGGCUAUUCCUUCCACUUCUCCCCCUCUCCUUGAUGUCUCCCCCAGCUAAAAAAUUAGAUCGAAUAAUGGCUGUAGGUUGCAGGAAAAGAACCUAGAAAUCAGGAGCGGUCCUGUUCCUUCUUUGAUCUCAGCGAUUUGUGUUCUUGUUCAUGGAGGUGUGCGUAGACCUCUGCCGUUGGUGGGUGUUAGGUGUUGGUGGCAGAGUACGCCGGUGUGGGGAUCUGAGACUGUGGGCGGGUACUUCUUCGAUGGCUGUCUUUUUUGGCUUCCACUGGACUGGUUCUUCUCUGCGAGUUCUUCCUUUGCUACGUCAAAGCUGUUCUCCGUUUUGGUUCGCAGGUUUGUGGUUUCUGUUGCAGUGUGUAAUGGAGAAUCACGCUUCCCCGCUCAGGUGAGAAUUCGUAUUAGGAAAAGUCUGCAAGGCCUUGGAGGAAGAUCCUUUUGGGCCUGUCUUACACCACUAUGAUUGCCCCAAGUUCCGACUUGAGCUCUCUGUCCCAGAGUAAAGUUCGAGUAGAAGAAUUGGGAACACUGCAUUAUCUUGACAACUUGCAGAAUAAGGAGCGAUUUACUGAACAAGGGUACUCAAUAACUUCCAAAUUAGAAGUCAGUUUAGCAAAUCAAUUUACUUUUCCUACUUUUGUGCACAUGGUUUACCAUCUUAGGAUAUCUUAUCGAUGCUGUGUAGGUGGACAAAAUGUCAAAAUAUACCUCAGCACGCAUACAAAAAUUGUGAAUGAGGAAGUGCAUUUUCUUUCCGUCACUGAAAUGCAAGGUACAUCGUUCACUCGAAAGGUACCUCAUAUGCAAAUGUUUAGCUUGGAAGGUACAUCAUUUCUCUUUUCUGAAAAGAUAUGUAAGGUGCAUCGAUUUUUUUGGCCAUUCUUUCAGUUAGACUGGUCUAUGUUACAAAUAGGAUGAUUUGUGUUCGAGGUUCAAGAUCUCGACUCAGCUUUAGGUCUUCAAAUAGCGACCCAAAUUUCCCGUUUACCUCUUGUCUUGUAAGAUCUGCUUCUCUUGGAUUUAGUGGCAAAGAGUGCCUACGGUAGAACCCAAGUGUUUGGUGAGUAAGUGAAAUAGCCUCACCUAUUGCCCAUCCAACCUUUUUCCCCACAUUAUAGUGGUAUAAUUGACAUAAUGCUAUGAGUAUGUUACAAUAUUGAUAUUGCAAUGAAGUUACAGUUGAUGAUGGUGCUAUGAAUUCUUUGACUCUCCUUUGGCAAGUUCAAGUAAUGUGGGACUAAUUGGUGUUAAUAUUGUUAGCCUCUUUAAUAGACCUAUAAAACUUGCAGGUUGAACAAACUGUGUUUGUGCGUGUAUUUGAUCUUUUUGGACUAAUUAGAGGUGAUAUGUUAUAUUGACCUUCAUUUUUGUUUCUUUGUAAUGUUUAGUUCGUUCUGUUGUUCAGUCGUUCAGUCUAGGAGGGUGUAGUUUUUAUUAUUUUUUCAAAAUAUUGUGGUUCUUUCAGUUUUUUUAUGUGGAGACUUUUUAUCUUUUGGGAUUUUGUUUUUACUGGUAUGAAGUGAUUUUGGAAUGUAAAUGGUUUACAUUUGCGGACGUUACCCUUAGCAUUUAAAUGAUAAGCAUUAUCAUGCUAUGUCUACCAUGUUAAAAUGCGAACCAUGUAGGCGGACUAAGUCUUGAAUUUGUAUUGUUGAAGGUAUGUUUAGGUGAUUUCCAGCUAUCAUUUAAAUGGUAGUGCAGUGACUUAAGGAAAACAAUUAGACACGUGAGCACUAUAUAUUUUGAUGCUUGCUAUUCAAUGCCGUUCAGCUAAAUAAGCCAC
Molecule: long non-coding RNA, 1926 nt
Organism: Rhododendron vialii
Lineage: Eukaryota; Viridiplantae; Streptophyta; Magnoliopsida; Ericales; Ericaceae
Exons: 4
Source: RefSeq, a predicted model, not a curated record